RNAcentral lists this ribosomal RNA (373 nucleotides) under uncultured organism. RNAcentral's name for it is "bacterial SSU rRNA". It matches the Rfam family "Bacterial small subunit ribosomal RNA", at positions 526 to 896 of the family's 1533-position model. The record is from RNAcentral.
CAGAGGUGCCAAGCGUUAGGCGGAAUCACUGGGCUUAAAGCGCGUGUAGGCGGGUCGUUAAGUGUCCGAGUGAAAUCCCACGGCUCAACCGUGGAACUGCCGGGCAUACUGGCGAUCUUGAGGCAUUCAGGGGCGAGCGGAACAAAUGGUGGAGCGGUGAAAUGCGUAGAUAUCAUUUGGAACGCCAAUGGUGAAAACAGCUCGCUGGGAAUGAUCUGACGCUGAGACGCGAAAGCCAGGGGAGCGAACGGGAUUAGAUACCCCGGUAGUCCUGGCCCUAAACGAUGUCCACUAGAUCGUGGCACCUCUGACGGUGUCAUGGUCGGAGCAAAAGUGUUAAGUGGACCGCCUGGGAAGUACGGUCGCAAGGCUA